AAGCAAUCUUUGAAUCCUGCACGGAAACACUGAAGCUUCUCCCACCCACAAGCAUCUCAGGCUCCUCACUCAAGCUGACUUCAGAUCUCAUGUCUCCCUCCUCCUGCCCUUUUGGUGGUGGCCGCUGUGUGCCAUGGCCAGAUAUCCAGUGGAGGCCCCUCAUCACAGCUGUGGCAGAUGUGAACUGCGUGUCCCUGCCUUAGGUGCAGCCUGCGUGGGGUUCCCCACCACGGUCUAAAGCCUCUGAGGUGCUCCCUGCAUUCCUGCAGGUAGGCUGAGUUUCUUGAAGAAAUGGGGAAUGUGCUUCUUUCCCCCAGCUCCGUCAUCUGGAUUCUAAAGCAGCCCACUUGGACCCAGCCCAGACCAACCC
Molecule: long non-coding RNA, 370 nt
Filed under: Homo sapiens (human)
Lineage: Eukaryota; Metazoa; Chordata; Mammalia; Primates; Hominidae
Description: HSALNT0298919
Source: RNAcentral